Molecule: ribosomal RNA, 484 nt
Filed under: uncultured bacterium
Lineage: Bacteria
Description: partial 16S ribosomal RNA
Rfam family: Bacterial small subunit ribosomal RNA
Source: RNAcentral
AUUGAACGCUGGCGGCAGGCCUAACACAUGCAAGUCGAGCGGAUGAAGGGAGCUUGCUCCUGGAUUCAGCGGCGGACGGGUGAGUAAUUCCUAGGAAUCUGCCUGGUAGUGGGGGAUAACGUCCGGAAACGGGCGCUAAUACCGCAUACGUCCUGAGGGAGAAAGUGGGGGAUCUUCGGACCUCACGCUAUCAGAUGAGCCUAGGUCGGAUUAGCUAGUUGGUGGGGUAAAGGCCUACCAAGGCGACGAUCCGUAACUGGUCUGAAAGGAUGAUCAGUCACACUGGAAUUGGACAACGGUCCAGCCUCCUACGGGGGGAAGAAGUGGGGAAUUUUGGAAAAUGGGGGAAGGCCUGAUCCAGACCUGCGGCGUGGGUGAAGAAGGUCUUCGGAUUGUAAAGCCCUUUAAGUUGGGAGGAAGGGCAGUAAGUUAAUAACUUGCUGUUUUGACGUUACCAACAGAAUAAGCACCGGCUAACUUCGUG